This 829-nucleotide long non-coding RNA is filed under the name Nicotiana benthamiana. RNAcentral describes it as "long non-coding RNA (NBEN_LNC024465)". Lineage: Eukaryota; Viridiplantae; Streptophyta; Magnoliopsida; Solanales; Solanaceae. The record is from RNAcentral.
CUCUUUUGUUUUUGUUUUUGUUUUUCCUUUCCUUCACUGAGCCGAGGGCCGAUUGGAAACAGCCUCUCUGCCCUUUCGGGUUGGGGUAAGGCCCGUCUAUAUAUUACCCUCCCCAGACCCCAUUUUGUCGGAUUAUACUAGGUAGUUGUUGUUGUUGCUACAGUAUGUGUUCAGUUGAAAACAGUUCUAAAGCUGAUUCUACUUUCCUGUACCCGUUUUCCAGUGCCACCACUUGCUGCCCACUAAGAUGAAGUGGGAGAUGUUUUCUAAGCAGAUCUUUUAGAGAAUAUAAUAGAGUGCUGAGGAAUUUGAAAGGAGUCUUGAUGCAUAUUCCUAUGAUCUUUGUUUGCUUUUAUGCUGUAGGUUUUAAUUUUAAGUGAAAAGCUUCACUCUGUCACGUCACAGUUUGACCAGUUGCGGGCAAUACGCUUUCAAGAUGCUAUUAACCGAGUAACACCAAGAAGGAAACGGAAGAACUCUACCAAAUUAAAUGCUGUGGAGACCUCUGUGUCUAGUAGUUUGGACCCCAACAUGAAAAGGGACUCAGAGAUCAGGGACUCUGAUAUUUCACAAGCAGCACCUGUUAGAGACCUCUGUAUCUAGUAGUUUGGACCCCGACAUGAAAAGGGACUCAGAGAUCAGUGACUCUGGUCUUUCACAAGCAGCACCUGUUAGAGUCCAAGAACAACUUUUAGAUGAUGAAACACGUGCCCUCCAGGUAAGUGGGAAGUUUGCUGCUAGAGGAUUUAGUUCCGGAAAACAAGCAACAUGUGGAGGCUAAAAUCACAAUGUACGUUCCUGUACUCUUACCUUUACUCACAUGAUGCAG